Molecule: ribosomal RNA, 392 nt
Filed under: uncultured bacterium
Lineage: Bacteria
Description: partial 16S ribosomal RNA
Rfam family: Bacterial small subunit ribosomal RNA
Source: RNAcentral
AUACGUAGGUGGCAAGCGUUAUCCGGAAUUAUUGGGCGUAAAGAGGGAGCAGGCGGCAGCAAGGGUCUGUGGUGAAAGCCUGAAGCUUAACUUCAGUAAGCCAUAGAAACCAGGCAGCUAGAGUGCAGGAGAGGAUCGUGGAAUUCCAUGUGUAGAGGUGAAAUGCGUAGAUAUAUGGAGGAACACCAGUGGCGAAGGUGGCGAUCUUGCCUGCAACUGACGCUCAGGCCCGAAAGCUUGGGGAGCAAAUAGGAUUAGAUACCCUAGUAGUCCACGCCGUAAACGAUGAGUACUAAGUGUUGGAUGUCAAAGUUCAGUGCUGCAGUUAACGCAAUAAGUACUCCGCCUGAGUAGUACGUUCGCAAGAAUGAAACUCAAAUGAAUUGACGGGG